GACGAACGCUGGCGGCGUGCUUAACACAUGCAAGUCGAACGGACAGGCCCUGCUCUUGUGGUGUGCUCGAUUGGCGAACGGGUGAGUAACACGUGAGUAACCUGUCCUUGUCUUUGUGAUAUCUUCAGGAAACUGGGGCUAAUACCGGAUAGGAGCUCCUGCUCCAUGGUGGUGGAUGGAAAGUUUCGGCGGUUGGGGAUGGACUCGAGGCUUAUGAGCUUGUUGGUGGGGUAGUGGCUUACCAAGGCUUUGACGGGUAGCCGGCCUGAGAGGGUGACCGGCCACAUUGGGACUGAGAGACGGCCCAGACUCCUACGGGAGGCAGCGGUGGGGAGUAUUGCACAAUGGGCGGAAGCGUGAUGCAGCAACGCCGCGUGCGGGAUAACGGCCUUCGGGUUGUGAACCGCUUUGGACUGUGACGAAGCGAGAGUGACGGUAAUGGGUAAAGAAGCACCGGCUAACUACGUG
This 468-nucleotide ribosomal RNA is filed under the name uncultured bacterium. RNAcentral's name for it is "partial 16S ribosomal RNA". It matches the Rfam family "Bacterial small subunit ribosomal RNA", at positions 28 to 507 of the family's 1533-position model. The record is from RNAcentral.